RNAcentral lists this long non-coding RNA (1474 nucleotides) under Canis lupus familiaris (dog). RNAcentral describes it as "lncRNA (ENSCAFG00040019515.1)". The record is from RNAcentral. Lineage: Eukaryota; Metazoa; Chordata; Mammalia; Carnivora; Canidae.
AUGACAGAGGGGGAUUCUCAGAGGGACAUUUUAUUUAUUUAUUUAAAAAAAAACAUUUUGUUUAUUUAUGAGAGACACACACACAGAGAGAGAGAGAGAGAGAGAGAGAGAGAGAGGCAGAGACACAGGCAGAGGGAGAAGCAGGCUCCAUGCAGGAAGCCUGAUGUGGGACUCAAUCCCAGGACUCCAGGAUCAUGCCCUGGGCUAAAGGCAGGCACUAAACCGCUGAGCCACCCAGGGAUCCCCUCAGAGGGACAUUUUAAUGCAAACAUAUGGAAAGUUUUAACUUUAGUUUCUGAUCGAGUUACAAUGGUAAUUUCAGGUAAUUCCUUCCACUGAGGUCUGGGGGGUGGGGUUUGUUGGUGUAGGGGUGGGCUCCGGAAGGCGGAGUUUUACAAAAUUAUAGUCAGGACUUUAUUAUUAUUUUUUAAAGAUUUUAUUUAUUUAUUCAUGAGAGACACAGAUUGAGAAAGAGGCAGAAGAAGAAGCAGGCUCCAUGCAGGGAGCCAGAUGUGGGACUCGAUCCCCAGCCUCCAGGAUCACGCCCUGGGCUGAAGGCAGGCACUAAACCGCUGAGCCACCCAGGAAUUCCCUAGUCAGGACUUUAGUGAUAGAAACCAGAGAUGAUGAACUAACCCCUCAGCCUCAGAAGACUUUUUGGGGGGAUGGCCAUAUGUGCGGUGGGACAAAUCACCCUGACGCCUCCUCACUUGUGAAAUGGAGACAAGAAUCGUUACCUGGGUUUUUGGUGAGACUCAAUUUUAUGAAUUGUGACGAUCUUUAUUAAUAUAAGGAAUUGAAGUAUUUUAUUUGUAGGGGAAGGAGGGAGAGAGAAAGGAAGGAAGGAAGAGAAAGUGGAUAGGGCAUUUUAUUCUGUAGGAGAGGGAGGGAGGAAGGGGUAAAGAUCUAGGUAGGGUGGAAGAAAUUAAGGGAGGCUUAGUUUCCUGAGCUCGGAGGGGAAGUUGACAGAAACUCACAGUCUGGGGAGAGAAGGAAGCAUCUUUCAGGGAAUUCCGUUAGUUGCCAUGUUCCAGAGACCCCGUCCCUAGAAUGUUCCUUCACGUGGCUGCAGGAAGAGGAGGCGGAGGCGUAGGCUUUCGAGCCUCCCGGCAAACUUCUUUCCAGGCCAUGGGGCGCCCUGGCCUGUGCUCUGGCUUCCGAGGUGCCCAAGGGAUGCCUUUUCCUUGCUUCCCGGGGGCGGCCAGGGUCUAGUGCGCCCAACGCACGGUAAGGAUCUUCUGGAAAACCACUCUCCGUGAGCUCUGCCCAGCUCCUAGAUGUUUCUGCGCCACCGGGUGCCCCCCCAGACCCCCACCCACUGCCAGAACCUCAAGCUGCACCUCGAGGGGCGGCUUCUCAGCGCAGGAUGCCCGCGUCCGCAGCUGCCCGCCGGCGUGUGCAGGUGAACCGGCGCGCGCGCGGGGACGGUGGCGGCGCUUUGCAGGCGAACUCCUUGUUUCCUCCUUUACAUUUC